AGUAAACGGCGGCCGUAACUAUAACGGUCCUAAGGUAGCGAACUGCCUUCUCGGGUAAGUUCAGACCCGCACGAAAGGCGUAACGAGUUGGGCACUGUCUCAACAACAGACUCGGUGAAAUUGUAAUGCCGGUGAAGAUGCCGGAUACCUGCGACAGGACGGAAAGACCCCAUGGAGCUUUACUGGAGCUUGACAUUGGGUUUUGGUACUACAU
This 214-nucleotide ribosomal RNA is filed under the name Clostridioides difficile. RNAcentral's name for it is "partial 23S ribosomal RNA". It matches the Rfam family "Bacterial large subunit ribosomal RNA", at positions 1922 to 2135 of the family's 2925-position model. Lineage: Bacteria; Bacillati; Bacillota; Clostridia; Peptostreptococcales; Peptostreptococcaceae. The record is from RNAcentral.